AAUAGAUACCCUGGUAGUCCACGCCGUAAACGAUGUCGACUUGGAGGUUGUGCCCUUGAGGCGUGGCUUCCGGAGCUAACGCGUUAAGUCGACCGCCUGGGGAGUACGGCCGCAAGGUUAAAACUCAAAUGAAUUGACGGGGGCCCGCACAAGCGGUGGAGCAUGUGGUUUAAUUCGAUGCAACGCGAAGAACCUUACCUACUCUUGACAUCCAGAGAACUUUCCAGAGAUGGAUUGGUGCCUUCGGGAACUCUGAGACAGGUGCUGCAUGGCUGUCGUCAGCUCGUGUUGUGAAAUGUUGGGUUAAGUCCCGCAACGAGCGCAACCCUUAUCCUUUGUUGCCAGCGGUUAGGCCGGGAACUCAAAGGAGACUGCCAGUGAUAAACUGGAGGAAGGUGGGGAUGACGUCAAGUCAUCAUGGCCCUUACGAGUAGGGCUACACACGUGCUACAAUGGCGCAUCAAAGAGAAGCGACCUCGCGAGAGCAAGCGGACCUCAUAAAGUGCGUCGUAGUCCGGAUUGGAGU
This 526-nucleotide ribosomal RNA is filed under the name uncultured bacterium. RNAcentral describes it as "bacterial SSU rRNA". It matches the Rfam family "Bacterial small subunit ribosomal RNA", at positions 777 to 1304 of the family's 1533-position model. The record is from RNAcentral.